GUGGCAAUAUUAAAGCUCCCCUUAUAGGGACUGCGAUGUGUAAUCUACUAAUCUGUAAAUUUUGAACUCAUGCCGGAUUUAUUUCUUGAUCGAAAUUGUUCAAUUUGUAGAGCUUAUCGAGCAGACGAAACAAGAUAAAAAUCAUAUUGAUCGAAGGCUGAUUAAUACAUUAUCGGAGAUGAUCGGAGUGAAUUUGUUUGUGUGAAAAUAGAUUUGGCCGCAUUGGAUCAAACCCAAUGUUGGAUCUGAGGAAGUUAUAACUGAAGGAAUUCGCUCCAUUUUCAUCACGCUCUGCAGCUGAGGAAGUUACGUGAAGAACCAUGCGAUGAUCAUCAAUUCAUCAUCCGUUUGAUUUCUGGGAUUGUUCAAUUAUCCGUCAGACAAGUGAAUCCUCGACAGUACGUGUCUGAAGUUCCUCAUGUGUUGUGCUCUGAGCUGAUUUAUGAUGCAAGUUUUUUAUUAUUAUCUUGAUUGCAUGAUGAGAUGAAGGUAGGAGAGGGGGGGAAUGAUGUGAUGCUAACACUUUGAAUCAUGCAGUUUUGAAACUCCAAUUGUUUGUCGAAUCAUCAGAUCACAUAGAUGGAAAUGCAAAUGAGUUUGGAAAUUAGAAUAGACCAGGGAUUUGGUUUAAUGGGGCGCAAGUUCAAAUUUCUAUACUGCAUAUGAGGUGACAGGUAAGAGCUGAUACAGUUUUUUAGAGCUAUUUCAUUGACUUAAGAGAUAGGUCAUAACUGUGAGAAGCAAAUAGGAGAAGGUUUUGGAGAGUGGAUCCUUUGUGUGAUGUACAAAAUGUGGUGUGAACAGAAUUGCUGAUGUUUUGAUGGGUUUGACCGUUUGUGGAAAACCAAAUUUCUAUGGGUCUUUUGUGUAGGUGCGUGUGGGGUCAAUUUAACAGUUGAUGAUUUGUAGAGAAUUUUGAGGCUUGAGAGUGGACUCAUAGCCUUUUGCUUUGGGCUUUGUAGUUGUACGUGUAAUGUAUAGAGAUGGGAUGAUUUUAAGGCUUCAGAGGAUUCCUAGCCUAUUUGCUUUUGGCUUUCUAUAGGCAUGCAUCGAGUGGCAUUUCCCUUUUGAUGCCUUUCAUUUCUUCAACAAAUCUCUAUAUAAAGGAAUGAUACCUUCCUAACUGGUGAUACUGAUGACUGUUGCAUUCCUUUCCACACUAUCAAGUUUCUCACGCAUCUGUUUUCAUUUUAUAGUUUGAUAUGCUUCAUCCGUCCCCAAUGUUAGUCCCAUGUUGCUGUCCCAAAAAGUUGUCCCUCUUUUGUCAAUGGACAAAAGUUGUUGAAUUCGCAUUUUACCUUCCCUUUCGAAGUAUCAACAGCAAUAAACUAAAGGCAAUGAUGUUCCUUUGGAAUUUCAUGCGAAUUGGUUGUGACCAUUGUUUUGUAUAUUAAAGAUGUCUGCUUAAUGCUACAGUGCUACCAGACCUAAAUGUACCCUCCCCUAAACCAGAAAUAUUGAAUCUUCCUGAGGGGCCAAAUGUGCAGGAGUAGGAGUUCCACUGCCAAAUUAGAUUAUUGGAUAUCCAGAGGCAACAAUUAGAGAAAGACAAAGAAUACAUUCUGGGCAAGUUGAGGGAGGGGCAAUUGAAACAGUCCACGUGCAAAUAUCAACAUUGGAAAUUUAUUGUUUCAAUAAUUUUUUGCAGGGGAAUGAAGAUCUGAUUCUUGCUAAUGAUGCACUUGACUUUGCAGAUUACCGUUUAUCAUUGGCAAUACCAAAAUAUGGGAUUUUUGAGAACAUAAAUUCGCUGUGGGAGCUAGCACAGAUGCCUCAAUGGACACCCGAGAAACCUCUAAGACUGGCCCCUAAGUUUAUGAAGGAAAAUGGACUGAAGCAUGUCACUUGUUCGACUACUGACGGAGCGUUGGAGGCAGCUCCUCCUGCGAUGGGCAUAGCUGAUGCUAUCGUGGACCUUGAGUAGCGGAACCACAUUCCGAGAGAACGAUUUAAAAGAAAUCGAAGGUGCAGUAAUAUUGGAAAGUCAGGUGAACUAAACUCUUUUGACUUACCCAAGCAUGUAAAACCAACCUUCAAAGCAGAUUGGAGGCAGUGCAGUUCUUAUUUCUCCUGACCUACAUUUUUUAUGAAGAACCCCUCAAUGGCGCGAACUCCUGUGAAAACUUGGCAUGUAAUAGUCUCAUGGGAAUGCCGAAUGCCUUGGGUGGUUUUUGUAUUCUACAGCAUUAGCGCAUCAAAGAACUCUUGGAGCUUGUGUAAGAAGAGAAUUCAGCUCAAGAAGUUACGCACUUGCAUGUAUUUCGGCGUAGUGUAUUUUUAGUCUUUUUUUUGGAAAUUCAUGCCACUUUUCAAUUGAUUAUAUCUUGAAAUCUGUAAGAUUUUAGGUGAUUUUGAAAUUUUGGUUUAAUAGUUCUAAUCAAGAGCUAUCAAACAAAAUCCAUAUUGCAUGUAAAAUGUAUUACGAAUUGAAAAGUUUAAUCAAUUUACUAUCCGCUUAGGAUGGAA
RNA transcript from Rhododendron vialii, 2466 nucleotides. It is a transcript of the gene named ATP phosphoribosyltransferase 1, chloroplastic-like, with no coding region annotated. The transcript has 5 exons. The record is from RefSeq and is a predicted model, not a curated record. Lineage: Eukaryota; Viridiplantae; Streptophyta; Magnoliopsida; Ericales; Ericaceae.